Molecule: ribosomal RNA, 856 nt
Filed under: uncultured Planctomycetota bacterium
Lineage: Bacteria; Pseudomonadati; Planctomycetota
Description: bacterial SSU rRNA
Rfam family: Bacterial small subunit ribosomal RNA
Source: RNAcentral
CAAGUCGAACGAGAACCAGUUUUGUAGCAAUACCGAGCUGGGGAAAGUGGCGAAAGGGGCAGUAAUGCAUGGGCAACCAACCCUGGGGACCGGGAUAGCCAUCCCAACGGAUGGGUAAUACCGGGCGAUGUAGCGAGGCCGCAUGUUCUUGCUACCAAAUGAGUUUCGCCCUGGGACGGGCUCAUGUGAUAUUAGCUUGUUGGCGGGGUAAUGGCCCACCAAGGCAAAGAUGUCUAGCAGGUGUGAGAGCACGACCUGCGCCACUGGCACUGAGACACUGGCCAGACUCUUACGGGAGGCUGCAGUCGAGGAUCUUCGGCAAUGGGCGCAAGCCUGACCGAGCGACGCCGCGUGUGCGAUGAAGGCCUUCGGGUUGUAAAACACUGUCGAGGGGGAGGAAAGCCGAAAGGUCUGACCUAUCCCUGGAGGAAGCACGGGCUAAGUUCGUGCCAGCAGCCGCGGUAAGACGAACCGUGCGAACGUUGUUCGGAAUCACUGGGCUUAAAGGGCGCGUAGGUGGAUAUCCAAGUCAGGGGUGAAAUCUUUCAGCUUAACUGGAAAACGGCCUUUGAUACUGGAUGUCUGGAGUGAGGUAGGGGCAUGCGGAACUUCCGGUGGAGCGGUGAAAUGCGUAGAUAUCGGAAGGAACACCGGUGGCGAAGGCGGCGUGCUGGACCUCAACUGACGCUGAGGCGCGAAAGCCAGGGGAGCAAACGGGAUUAGAUACCCCGGUAGUCCUGGCCCUAAACGAUGGGUACUAGACUGUAGACUGAACAUGGGUUUACAGUCGAAGCAAAAGUGUUAAGUACCCCGCCUGGGGAGUAUGGUCGCAAGGCUGAAACUCAAAGGAAUUGAC